CGCGGCCUAUCAGCUUGUUGGUGGGGUAGUGGCUUACCAAGGCUUUGACGGGUAGCCGGCCUGAGAGGGUGACCGGCCACAUUGGGACUGAGAUACGGCCCAGACUCCUACGGGAGGCAGCAGUGGGGAAUAUUGCACAAUGGGCGGAAGCCUGAUGCAGCAACGCCGCGUGCGGGAUGACGGCCUUCGGGUUGUAAACCGCUUUCGCCCGUGACGAAGCGUGAGUGACGGUAAUGGGUAAAGAAGCACCGGCUAACUACGUGCCAGCAGCCGCGGUGAUACGUAGGGUGCGAGCGUUGUCCGGAUUUAUUGGGCGUAAAGGGCUCGUAGGUGGUUGAUCGCGUCGGAAGUGUAAUCUUGGGGCUUAACCCUGAGCGUGCUUUCGAUACGGGUUGACUUGAGGAAGGUAGGGGAGAAUGGAAUUCCUGGUGGAGCGGUGGAAUGCGCAGAUAUCAGGAGGAACACCAGUGGCGAAGGCGGUUCUCUGGGCCUUUCCUGACGCUGAGGAGCGAAAGCGUGGGGAGCGAACAGGCUUAGAUACCCUGGUAGUCCACGCUGUAAACGGUGGGUACUAGGUGUGGGGUCCAUUCCACGGGUUCCGUGCCGUAGCUAACGCUUUAAGUACCCCGCCUGGGGAGUACGG
This 643-nucleotide ribosomal RNA is filed under the name uncultured bacterium. Its description in RNAcentral is "bacterial SSU rRNA". It matches the Rfam family "Bacterial small subunit ribosomal RNA", at positions 232 to 885 of the family's 1533-position model. The record is from RNAcentral.